GGGUAUAAAAAGUUAAGUGCCACUAAGGAAAUACAAAUUGUAUUGAUGAUAAUAGUAUGAUUUUGUCACCACGCGUCGUUGUUUGUUUGGGCAAUUGCGCUCGUGUCGAUUAAGAAUGUAAUUUUUUAUACUCACAAUAGUUUUGAGCAAUCCUUCAUCUUUAGUAGGGAGUUGUGUGUUAACCUUGGGGAGCAACCGACAUUAAGAUUAGCAUCAUGGUCUGAUCGAAUUUACUUUCAUGGCAGUGAUUCGACACGGCACAACAAGUUAUUUUGAUCGUCAUCAACGAAAUUUUUACAACACGUCUUUAUUUCUGACGAAGCCGAAACCCAGCCGAGCCUUCACGUAUUUCUCAUCUGACGUUCGCACCAUCGUGUCUCUCCUCCAGAUGUUGAGGAGUGUUGCCGACCGAUCUAUCUUCAUCGUCUCUGUCUUUUUCGUCUAAGUCGUAACCCAGUUGAAGCUUGCCAUCGUCCAGAUCUGAGCCCUGUUGUGUCCAUCAAAGCACCGUCGUAAGACUCCCCAUCUUCCAGUCGUGGGUUGCAAGCUGACGUCCACUCCAUUUGUCAUUCAGAUCUGGUUUUGCAUGCGUCGAUUCCAUCUAUUUAGAGUUGCUGCCACUAUCUUGUUGUAAGUUUGUUUGAUAGUAAGAAAUUGUGGACUUUGUAAUGACGUUUCUUAGCUACCGUAAGCAUUAAGGUUGGAUUAAUUGAUUGGGUUUCGUUUGUUUUUUAAGGUGAUUUUGGAGAAGUUGGCUUGAAUCCUUGAGUUUCACACUAAGCUUCGUUUGGAGUCGAUUCUCCAUUUGCUUGGGUAAUUGUCAAAUUCACAUUUGGGUGAAUUAGAUAGAUGAUAUUAUUUGAAAAAAAAUGUUGAUUUUCUGUUGCUUAUGUUUAGGAUUGGUUUGUUGGGGUUAGUCCGAUCAAGAAGUUUAGGUAACCUUAAGUGUGCCUUGCAGGUGUCCCACUGGAUCACCACCUAUUGUGCAUCAUUUGGAGCACUAGACUGAUAGAUGCAUCCUUCGGGAGCACAAUACUGAUAUGUGCAUCGUUCGGGAACACAAGACUGAUAUGUGAAUCCUUUGGGAGAUUCAACUGAUUAUGUGCAUCCCACGAGAUCACGAGACUGUUAUGAUGCAGGGUACCUCCCAAUAGGAAGUUAAUAAUUUUUACCCCUAGCGGGACCAGUAGUGGGUCUCUUACUGGGUAUAUUUAUACACACUCUUUAUUGUUUAACUUUUACAAGCAAAGGUAAUACAAGAGGCAGACCGACGAGGGACAAGAAGGAGACGUGGUCGCCAUAUAGGGACCUAGCUUUUUCUUAAAACUUGCUUCCGCUUAUGGUUU
Long non-coding RNA from Cucumis sativus (cucumber), 1346 nucleotides. RefSeq lists it as uncharacterized. NCBI's taxonomy places the organism in Eukaryota, Viridiplantae, Streptophyta, Magnoliopsida, Cucurbitales, Cucurbitaceae. The record is from RefSeq and is a predicted model, not a curated record. The transcript has 2 exons.